UAACACAUGCAAGUCGAACGGUCUACCCCAACAGAAACCUUCGGGUUGAAGAUGGGAUUUAGAUAGUGGCGGACGGGUGAGUAACACGUGGAUAACCUGUCCUUAAGACUGGGAUAACCUGGCGAAAGUCGGGCUAAUCCCGGGUAAGCUGAGAGUGUGGCAUCACACAAUCAGAAAAGGUGGCUUUAGUGCCAUCGUUUAAGGAGGGGUCCGCGGUAGAUUAGCUAGCUGGUGAGGUAAAAGCUCACCAGGGCGACAAUCUAUAGCUGGUCUGAGAGGACGAUCAGUCACACUGGAACUGAGACACGGUCCAGACUCCUACGGGAGGCAGCAGUGGGGAAUCUUCCACAAUGGGCGCAUCGCCCGCCGCGCCCCGC
RNAcentral lists this ribosomal RNA (377 nucleotides) under uncultured Halanaerobium sp. RNAcentral describes it as "bacterial SSU rRNA". It matches the Rfam family "Bacterial small subunit ribosomal RNA", at positions 49 to 390 of the family's 1533-position model. The record is from RNAcentral. Lineage: Bacteria; Bacillati; Bacillota; Clostridia; Halanaerobiales; Halanaerobiaceae.